GCCCACUUGGCGCAGUGGUACCGCGUAGCACUGUAAAUGCUAAGAUCAUUGGUUCGAUUCCAGUAGUGGGCA
Molecule: transfer RNA, 72 nt
Filed under: Botrytis cinerea T4
Lineage: Eukaryota; Fungi; Ascomycota; Leotiomycetes; Helotiales; Sclerotiniaceae
Also listed under: 1 other name
Description: tRNA-Tyr (GTA) (tRNA-Tyr-GTA-1-1)
Rfam family: tRNA
About the family: Transfer RNA (tRNA) molecules are approximately 80 nucleotides in length. Their secondary structure includes four short double-helical elements and three loops (D, anti-codon, and T loops).
Source: RNAcentral